GACAAUCUGAGUUUCAUCAUUCAAAUAUAAAGCAUCGACAGCCAGUAUUGAUAGUAGAAGAUUACCAAACAAACCACCGCAUACAACCAAAUCCUUUCCGGCUUUGCUCGCCACUUCUUCGAUGACUCUCUCUCUCUCUCUCUCUUCUCUCUCUCCAUCUAUCCAGCCCUCGGGUUAGGGAAUUUCAAUUCAAAGUCUAGCGUUAGUGAUUCUCAUUCAAUUUGGGAAUUUCUCCAAAGCUUUGACUCUACUGUUUUCGUCUCUAUAUCUAUAUCUAUAUAUCUGUCUUUUUGCUAUGGAAUUUGGUGUAUCAG
This 314-nucleotide long non-coding RNA is filed under the name Actinidia chinensis (golden kiwifruit). RNAcentral describes it as "long non-coding RNA (ACHI_LNC000916)". The record is from RNAcentral. Lineage: Eukaryota; Viridiplantae; Streptophyta; Magnoliopsida; Ericales; Actinidiaceae.